RNAcentral lists this signal recognition particle RNA (97 nucleotides) under Rhodovibrio salinarum. RNAcentral's name for it is "Bacterial small signal recognition particle RNA". It matches the Rfam family "Bacterial small signal recognition particle RNA". Rfam says of the family: The signal recognition particle (SRP) is a universally conserved ribonucleoprotein involved in the co-translational targeting of proteins to membranes. Archaeal SRP consists of a 7S RNA and homologues of the eukaryotic SRP19 and SRP54 proteins. Lineage: Bacteria; Pseudomonadati; Pseudomonadota; Alphaproteobacteria; Rhodospirillales; Rhodovibrionaceae. The record is from Rfam by way of RNAcentral.
GGAGACUGGCGGCGGACGGGCCGCCGGGUAACCCGGUCAGGUCCGGAAGGAAGCAGCCGUAACCGGUCAGGCCUGGGUCGUCCGUUCAGUCUCCCAC